CAUAACUAUUCUCAGUUUACGUUGACAACUUUACAAGAUGGGUGACAUGCUUUAAACCAGGGAACGAUUACGAUCCGGAACAACGAAUUGGAACUCGAAGAUCAAAGAUUCAAAUUUCAAAUCCUGCUACUGUGCAACAAUCUUUGAUGAAGCGUUAACGGACCCUCACAAUCAGAUCUCCAGUCAAUACCUGAAGCAAGGACGAACGCCGCCGUCAAGCCGUUAUCAAUUUUGCAGAUACCAGGAAGAGUAGUGAUCGCUGCUGAUGCAAGUCUACACCCCUAACGUAGCGAGCAAAGAAGAUUCUUUCAAAUUGCUUCCCCGGUGUACCAUGCAGUCAUUUAUGAUUGAUUGCGAGAUU
This is a long non-coding RNA of Athalia rosae (coleseed sawfly), 361 nucleotides long. RefSeq lists it as uncharacterized. The transcript is spliced from 3 exons. The record is from RefSeq and is a predicted model, not a curated record. Lineage: Eukaryota; Metazoa; Arthropoda; Insecta; Hymenoptera; Athaliidae.